Long non-coding RNA from Nematolebias whitei (Rio pearlfish), 249 nucleotides. RefSeq lists it as uncharacterized. The transcript has 3 exons. The record is from RefSeq and is a predicted model, not a curated record. Lineage: Eukaryota; Metazoa; Chordata; Actinopteri; Cyprinodontiformes; Rivulidae.
UGUGCCCAUUGUUUUGGUUUACCGUAGAAAGAACCGAGCUCCUCCCAACAAUCAGCAACAGGUGGAACAGUCCAGAUGUCCUCCUUGGUAGACAAACGUAAGGAUAAAAUCUACAGCUGGAAGAAAUCACCGAACAAGAGUCAGUUGAGAGUUUUACCCGUGUCUCCUCCAAGCAGCAAAGAUUCAUCUACAUCAAAGCCCAGAGCCAAAAGUCGAGCAGAAAUUCUGUUUGAUCAGAUCCAACACUCA